AUGCCGUCGAUUUGUUCCUUAUUUUCUGUUACCCAGCUAGCAUUUCAACCACACCCGACCGGGCUCAAACUUGGUGCUCAACUAGAGGUGUGA
This 93-nucleotide ribosomal RNA is filed under the name Triticum aestivum (bread wheat). RNAcentral describes it as "partial small subunit ribosomal RNA". The record is from RNAcentral. Lineage: Eukaryota; Viridiplantae; Streptophyta; Magnoliopsida; Poales; Poaceae.